GAUGAACGCUGGCGGCGUGCCUAAUACAUGCAAGUCGAGCGAACGGACGAGAAGCUUGCUUCUCUGAUGCUAGCGGCGGACGGGUGAGUAACACGUGGAUAACCUACCUAUAAGACUGGGAUAACUUCGGGAAACCGGAGCUAAUACCGGAUGAUAUUUUGAACCGCAUGGUUCAAAAGUGAAAGACGGUCUUGCUGUCACUUAUAGAUGGAUCCGCGCUGCAUUAGCUAGUUGGUAAGGUAACGGCUUACCAAGGCAACGAUGCAUAGCCGACCUGAGAGGGUGAUCGGCCACACUGGAACUGAGACACGGUCCAGACCCCUACGGGAGGCAGCAGUAGGGAAUCUUCCGCAAUGGGCGAAAGCCUGACGGAGCAACGCCGCGUGAGUGAUGAAGGUCUUCGGAUCGUAAAACUCUGUUAUUAGGGAAGAACAUAUGUGUAAGUAACUGUGCACAUCUUGACGGUACCUAAUCAGAAAGCCACGGCUAACUACGUG
This 497-nucleotide ribosomal RNA is filed under the name uncultured bacterium. Its description in RNAcentral is "partial 16S ribosomal RNA". It matches the Rfam family "Bacterial small subunit ribosomal RNA", at positions 28 to 507 of the family's 1533-position model. The record is from RNAcentral.